AAUGUCGUCCAGAUGCCAGGAUUACCUGAUGACUAGCCCUCUAUCGUAACAUCCGCUUUAGGAAUUUAACUGGAGUUUUUUGGUCUUUCUAGAUAAAAUCUGGACUCUGUUAGCCAAAAUCAUCUUGAAGUCGACGUUUCCAAGUUGGAAGAAUCAAAUAGAACGGACACAUAAAGACCGAAUUCCAGCUUGGACAAUCUAAGUUGACCCCAAGUUCAGACUCAGUUUUCCUGUUGGCUGUUGCCAACAGGAAAACUGGCUUGAUUGAACUCAAUCCACUCUUAUUUGUCAGAGAGUCCAGAAAACUCAGGUGGACGCCUCAACAAUCGGCUGGGAUCUACGACUAUCUAACAAACAAACCAGUUUGUGAGACUGAAUGAUUGUGUGUCUAAUCAGGUCAGGUGGUCAGCAGUACAUUAGUACCAAAGGGGACUGUACUCUCACUAUUUCCUUUUUUCCUCUUUACAUCCGAGUCUUCCAGCGUAAGUCACUCCUGAUGACGUCCUCAGAUGACUCUGCAGUCGUCAGGCGGAUGGACAAGCCAUACUGGACAGCCAUUUUGGAUUUUCUGUUUGAGGAUGGUCAGAAACCCCAUACUGUACAAAUCGUCAUUUCAACUCAGAUGAUAAUUAUGUCCUUCUGGUAGCUGUGACUGUGACAGAGGUUCAAACAGGACUCCUUGCUGACCUGCAAGUGGACCAGCUCGUGUACUGCACUUCACCAUCUUCACCUGGCCAGCUGCAGCAUCCCAUGGGAUGAUGAAGUUCUGUCGCUUGUCGAGCAAAAACCUGGGUUCAGAAUUUUCCAAAGAACUUUACAAAUACACCCCUCGCUUCUUUGAGAUUUUCAAGAGCAAGGGGGGAAGUGUUGCCCAGAAACUUCAGACGUAUCUGCAACAAGUCAGACCCGAGAGUUCAGAUAUUACUGCGAAGCGAAUGGCAGUGCUCCGUGGCCUUCCUGUAAUCCUUGGAGAUGAGAACACAGACUUCUUCAAGACAUGCUUUGACUGCGAAGACCCAGACAUCUCUCACCCCCAUUGGGAUCCUGACCAUCAUUCCUGAGGACAGGCAGGCCUCCCCUGACUCACUGCACCUUGAGUCUUCAGGUACUGCCAUCAUUUUGGAAGGAAGUCUUGUCAUGAAUGACCUUGGAAAUCUUCCACAUGCCAUGUGCUUGCUCUUUGGACUUAUUUAUGCUCUGAAUUUGGAGUACCCUCAACAACUGAAGUACACCUUUGACUUCAUCCAAAGGGUGCUUCUCUCACUUGGACAUAAAUCCCUAAAACCAAAAAUACAAUCACUCAAAAAUCUUCUGAUGCAAUGAGUGAAUGUGAUGUGACAUUAUGGAUCAACGUUGAUACCUUUCCCCUUAUUGGAAAAGUGAUUUUUAUUUCUUGUUUGAUUCUUUUUUGUUGGAGGGAGCAUCAUUACGCAGGAAUACGCAGGAAAAUGAGCAGUCGAAAGAAACUAAAUCUCCGGAAAAAAUGGAGAGAAAGGUGAGUGAAAAUCCACAAAGAUCCCAAAUGCUUAAUCUUCUACGCACACGAGCAGAAUUGGACGGUAAAAUGUCCAUAUGAACAGAGCAAACGCAUUCAACGACUGAAGACACAGAACCAGAAAAAGGAAAUUCUCAGACGUACUUGCCAGAAUUGAUGGAGGAAGCAAACAUGUCAAGAAAAGGCUAUGUAGCAAUGAUUUCAAGCUUAGACAAAAUAAACAAAAAACUUUCGGCUAAAAAUGCACGCUAUGAGAUCAGAUUGGAUCAGGCAUCUGAAUUGUCAAAUUAUCUGUCAAGAUUUAAUAAAGAACUUGGAAGUGGCGUUGAUUCAUUGAAAAUUCGACUGGAAAAUUUUGAAAGGAAAGACCAAGAGUCAUCUUUGAGACAAGAAAAUGAUGAAUUGAGGGCUGAUAUUCAAAAGCUUGAGAUGAAGAUGGCAGAAUUAAUGGAAGAUUCCAAAGCGUCCAAACACAAAGAAGAAACCUACAUCGAGAAGAUUUUGCACUUGGAAGACAAACAUCACACAAUUAUCGCUCAGCUAGAUCAACUUGAACGCACAGCAGAGGAAAUAUAUGAAGUGAAUGUCUCUCUGAGAGAUUCAAAUAGGGACCUGAAAUUGCAGAUUGAGACAAAAGUAGUUCAUUCUAAGAGCUGGGGAAAAAGAUGCUUAGACGGCCUCUGGUUUAUAGUUAAACAAGGCCUUCUUGGUAUUGUUGAAAAAAAUGAUUAUUUUAGUACUUAAUACAGUUAAUCUUACGCAUGUGUAAAAAGGGUAUGUUUGACGCUCUUAUUUUGAACCGGACAGACAGGGGUCAAAAUGCAGAUCACUAAAUGGGGCCUCUUGCUGUGCGGACAGAACACAGAGCCAUAAAAUUAGCAUUCCUGCAGGCAGUUGGGGGGAGACCUGCCGGAGGCCAGCAUCUGCGAUGGUGUAUAAUUAAUGCAAAAUAGAAGAUUGAAACCCCGAACAUUUAAUUUCUAAGUAUUAAUACCAUGUUUUUACUGAAGAUUGUAUUAUCUCAUUUUAAAACUACUAAAUGAUG
Long non-coding RNA from Xiphophorus maculatus (southern platyfish), 2540 nucleotides. RefSeq lists it as uncharacterized. The record is from RefSeq and is a predicted model, not a curated record. NCBI's taxonomy places the organism in Eukaryota, Metazoa, Chordata, Actinopteri, Cyprinodontiformes, Poeciliidae. The transcript has 4 exons.